Long non-coding RNA from Chiroxiphia lanceolata (lance-tailed manakin), 1062 nucleotides. RefSeq lists it as uncharacterized. NCBI's taxonomy places the organism in Eukaryota, Metazoa, Chordata, Aves, Passeriformes, Pipridae. The transcript has 4 exons. The record is from RefSeq and is a predicted model, not a curated record.
AACAAUGACAAAUUAAGAAUACUUAUGGAAGUUAGGUGCUCUUUGGAAGAAGUGUGUUUGAGGCUACCGAUGCUUGUUGUAGGAAUAUUUAGACCAGUGGUUUCCAAGUGGGAGUUUCAGGUGGGAACACCUCAGAUAUCUCCCUUGGGCUGGGGAGUUUUACACUGGAUGAUUUAGUACUGUGAGUCACAGGAUACUUUGGGAGUCUUUGACACCUUCCAAGAUGUUGCAGCUGUCUCUUACAUCAGUGCAGCUGAGUCCAUUAUGGCUCAGCAACAAGAGAUGAAUAUCUUCAGGUUAAGCAUGAGUGUUCCAGGGAGUUAUCACAGCUGACUCAUCUGGGAAACUGCACGGACUAUUCCAAGAGGCAAGGGAAAGGGCCAGAUGCUUGCUUCCCCUUUGAAGGAAGUUGGCUCCUUCAGUACUCAGUAUCUUCUACUAAAGCAAAUGCAAGGUGGUGCUUGGUCCCUCAGAAAGCUGUAUAUUAAGGCUGUUCAAGCUUUUGCAAUUGUUUGUAGUUCGAUUGCCCCUUCCUGCACCUUAGCCAGAAACAACCUUCAUUACAACUCCACUUAUGAUUUCAGGGCAACACUGAAGUCUAGGACAACUCUUGUCCUGCAAGGACUCAGCCAAAGUGACCACAUACACCUGGGACUUGCACACAGAACUCAGCAUCACACAGGUAGCUGUGCAUAUUGUUCAUUGCAAACUGUGCACAACUCAAAAAGGUCUUUGAAGCUCCUUUCAACUUCAGGUGCCUGCUAAAAGUCCUUCUGUCCUAACUAUUGAUAGAAUCUCUGUCAGUUAAAUUAUCCAUUUUAGAAAAAAAAAAGAAAAACAAAAAAGACAACUGCAGAAUCCUUUUCAAAUUGGUUAAAUACUAAAGCAAGUAAAUGAUUGUCAGACUCAGUAUUUAUGGAAAAUAAGCUGGAAAACAAAGAUGACAACCCUCAGCUGAGCUAGUUGCUUGUGGCCUGAAGGCCUUGUAUUAUUCAAUUCUGCAUGAACAUGUGAUUGUUAUUGCAUGAAACUUAAUAUACAAAUGUUCAACACUGCAGUAUU